CUUGAACGCUGGCGGCAGGCCUAACACAUGCAAGUAGAGCGGAGCGGCGGACGGGUGAGUAAUGCAUAGGAAUCUGACUGGUAGUGGGGGAUAACGUCCGGAACCGGGCGCUAAUACCGUAUACUAUCAGCUGAGCCUAGGUCGGAUUAGCUAGUUGGUGGGGUAAAGGCCUACCAAGGUGACGAUCCGUACCUGGUCUGAGAGGAUGAUCAGUCACACUGGAACUGAGACACGGUCCAGACUCCUACGGGAGGCAGCAGGGGGGAAUAGUGGACAAUGGGCGAAAGCCUGAUCCAGCGAUGCCGCGUGUGUGAAGAAGGUCUUCGGGUUGUAAAGUACUGUCAGCGGGGAGGCGUUACCCACAGAAGAAGCACCGGCUAACUCCGUGCCAGCAGCCGCGGUAAUAC
Molecule: ribosomal RNA, 407 nt
Filed under: uncultured bacterium
Lineage: Bacteria
Description: partial 16S ribosomal RNA
Rfam family: Bacterial small subunit ribosomal RNA
Source: RNAcentral